GUGGCGGUAGCUCAAUUCGGCAGAGCGCCAGGUUGUGAUCCUGGUUGUUACGGGUUCGAAUCCCGUCCGCCACCCCA
RNAcentral lists this transfer RNA (77 nucleotides) under Mycolicibacterium peregrinum. RNAcentral's name for it is "tRNA-His". It matches the Rfam family "tRNA". From Rfam's summary of the family: Transfer RNA (tRNA) molecules are approximately 80 nucleotides in length. Their secondary structure includes four short double-helical elements and three loops (D, anti-codon, and T loops). The record is from RNAcentral. Lineage: Bacteria; Bacillati; Actinomycetota; Actinomycetes; Mycobacteriales; Mycobacteriaceae.